AGGGCACCAUCAGGAGUGGAGCCUGCGGCUUAAUUUGACUCAACACGGGGAAACUUACCCGGCCUGGACACUGGAAGGAUUGACAGAUUGAGAGCUCUUUCUUGAUUCAGUGGGUGGUGGUGCUUGGCCGUUCUUAGUUGGUGGAGCGAUUUGUCUGGUUAAUUCCGAUAACGAACGAGACUCUAGCCUAUUAAAUAGGCUCUCGGCUUUUAAACGCCGGGAGGACUUCUUAGAGGGACAGGUGGCGGUUCAGCCGCACGAAAGAGAGCAAUAACAGGUCUGUGAUGCCCUUUGUUGUCCGGGGCCGCACGCGCGCUACACUGAAGAGAUCAGCGUGCUUUACGUUCCUGCUCCGACCGGAGUGGGGAACCCAGUGAACCUUCUUCGUGAUUGGGAUAGAAGAUUGUAAUUAUUCUUCUUGAACGAGGAAUUCCCAGUAAAUGCGAGUCAUAAGCUCGCGUUGAUUACGUCCCUGCCCUUUGUACACACCGCCCGUCGCUACUACCGAUUGAACGAUUU
Molecule: ribosomal RNA, 519 nt
Filed under: uncultured eukaryote
Lineage: Eukaryota
Description: SSU rRNA
Rfam family: Eukaryotic small subunit ribosomal RNA
Source: RNAcentral